This 495-nucleotide ribosomal RNA is filed under the name uncultured bacterium. RNAcentral describes it as "partial 16S ribosomal RNA". It matches the Rfam family "Bacterial small subunit ribosomal RNA", at positions 28 to 505 of the family's 1533-position model. The record is from RNAcentral.
GAUGAACGCUGGCGGCGUGCCUAAUACAUGCAAGUCGAGCGAACGGACGAGAAGCUUGCUUCUCUGAUGUUAGCGGCGGACGGGUGAGUAACACGUGGAUAACCUACCUAUAAGACUGGGAUAACUUCGGGAAACCGGAGCUAAUACCGGAUAAUAUUUUGAACCGCAUGGUUCAAAAGUGAAAGACGGUCUUGCUGUCACUUAUAGAUGGAUCCGCGCUGCAUUAGCUAGUUGGUAAGGUAACGGCUUACCAAGGCAACGAUGCAUAGCCGACCUGAGAGGGUGAUCGGCCACACUGGAACUGAGACACGGUCCAGACUCCUACGGGAGGCAGCAGUAGGGAAUCUUCCGCAAUGGGCGAAAGCCUGACGGAGCAACGCCGCGUGAGUGAUGAAGGUCUUCGGAUCGUAAAACUCUGUUAUUAGGGAAGAACAUAUGUGUAAGUAACUGUGCACAUCUUGACGGUACCUAAUCAGAAAGUCACGGCUAACUACG